Molecule: ribosomal RNA, 264 nt
Filed under: uncultured bacterium
Lineage: Bacteria
Description: partial 16S ribosomal RNA
Rfam family: Bacterial small subunit ribosomal RNA
Source: RNAcentral
GUCCACGCCCUAAACGAUGUCAACUGGGUGUUGGGGAGCGAUUCCUCAGUACCGUAGCUAACGCGUGAAGUUGACCGCCUGGGGAGUACGGCCGCAAGGUUAAAACUCAAAGGAAUUGACGGGGACCCGCACAAGCGGUGGAUGAUGUGGAUUAAUUCGAUGCAACGCGAACAACCUUACCUACCCCUUGACAUGUCCGGAACCCCACUGAGAGGUGGGGGUGCCCGAAAGGGAAUCGGAACACAGGUGCUGCAUGGCUGUCGU